Molecule: long non-coding RNA, 797 nt
Organism: Aquila chrysaetos chrysaetos
Lineage: Eukaryota; Metazoa; Chordata; Aves; Accipitriformes; Accipitridae
Exons: 3
Source: RefSeq, a predicted model, not a curated record
CAGAGCGGAGGAGCCAUGGCUUUGCCAGCCGGGGCCGUGGGGGGAUCCGUGACCCCCGGGACAGCAGUGGCCGGCUUGGCCUGGCUCCCCUGGGCAGCCCAGGCGGCCUGGCCUGCGACGGGAGCUGCAGCGUGCCCCUCGGGUUGGCAUCGGGUCAAAGAGCCGCAGGAGCGUGGCCCUGCGCCCCUCUCCCCUGCUGUGGCCAUGACACCUCCCAUGCAGAGCGCAGAGGUGCGACGGAGGGGUUUCUGUGAGCUUUUCCCAAGGACAGAAAGCAGUUUACAGGCCCUGAUGGUUUCAGCUGCAGUGAAGAAGAGCACCUGCAGGAAGCUGGCUAUAGUAACUUGCUGCUCAGCUAUGCCAUCCCUGUGAAAGUGAUAAUAGCCCUUUAUGCUGCAGCCCCUAUAGAAGAUCAGUCACUGAAGUUAACAGAAGCACACACGGAUGGGUAUUGCAGCGUAUAUUAACUUCAGCUGAAGAAACAAGAUGGUUGCGAAGAAAGAGGAAAGACAACUCUCACUGCCUCAAUCAGAGAGGAAGGAUGCAUUGAAUUCCUGAAUUUGGAAGGAGAGAAUAAGAAUUAAUCCCCUCCUAAUCGCUGUCGCAGCCCCAUUCUGCCUUGUUUUCCUCCAGAUGGUUAAAGGGCCGAGCGAUGGGCAGUUCUUUAAUAUGCAGAGCUACCACGGCCCUGUCUUCUCAAAGGUGAAAGUGGCUUAGCAAAUAUCUAGCUUCUCUAAGAACAGCUUAUGGUGUGUAUUUGAGUGAAGGAUUUUUUCGGGAAAAAAAAAAAAAAAAGA